RNAcentral lists this long non-coding RNA (338 nucleotides) under Homo sapiens (human). RNAcentral's name for it is "HSALNT0071663". The record is from RNAcentral. Lineage: Eukaryota; Metazoa; Chordata; Mammalia; Primates; Hominidae.
CUAAGCCCGUUGGUUCUACGUCUAUUAUUAAUUCUUUCAAUAAGUAUUUAUGAGGCCUGCUAUGUGACAGGCUCCAUACUUGGCACGGCGGAUAAAAAGAGGAAUAUGACACAGAUUGCAAAAGAGAAACAAGUAAACGGAAAUCAGAGCAUAGUGAUUGUGUAAUAUGUGUAGAGGCUGAUUUAAUCACAGGGAGCACAGAGGACGGUACCUAAAUCAGAAGGGAUCUGGGGAGGUUUCCUGGAAAAGGUUUCAACCAAAGCCAUAAAUGCUGAUGUGGAUAUCAGGACAGUGUUUCAAGCAAUUUAGAUACAAUAUAAAAUAUACUGAUGCCAUAG